This 261-nucleotide ribosomal RNA is filed under the name uncultured prokaryote. RNAcentral describes it as "partial 16S ribosomal RNA". It matches the Rfam family "Bacterial small subunit ribosomal RNA", at positions 917 to 1178 of the family's 1533-position model. The record is from RNAcentral.
GGGCCCGCACAAGCGGCGGAGCAUGCGGAUUAAUUCGAUGCAACGCGAAGAACCUUACCAAGGCUUGACAUACACCAGACCGUUCUGGAAACAGUUCCUCCCCUUUGGGUUGGUGUACAGGUGGUGCAUGGUUGUCGUCAGCUCGUGUCGUGAGAUGUUGGGUUAAGUCCCGCAACGAGCGCAACCCUCGUUCUAUGUUGCCAGCACGUAAUGGUGGGAACUCAUAGGAGACUGCCGGGGUCAACUCGGAGGAAGGUGGGG